AAACUUAAUAAGAAACAUUACUUAGUUUAACACUGGUUAAUGGUGUCUAACGAAAUAUUCCAACAUUGAUGUGAUGUUAAUGUAUGACAAUUAUAUAAUGUCAAGAGGCUAUAGCGACACCCCGCCAAUGUGUACCUGGGUGGUGUAGUUGUUAAAGGCAUAACCUUUCACGUGGGCAACCCGGGUUCGAAUCUCGUGAUCAACGCUUUUUAUUGCGGGCCUGCUGAACUAGGCUUGCCUGGUUUCUUGUUAUGUAGGUCCAGGUAAUUCACUUCAGUUGCGCCACAUGGGCACAAUGAGUAAAGAACUGCGCAAGCUGUCGAACAAGAUGGCCACAGUGCUCGCUUGUGUCCAAGCAAAUGGCUCGGUGAGAGAAGUGUCGUUCCCUAGUGGUCAGGGUAUUCAGCUCCCCUUGGACAACAUGGACGACCUGCGGCAGUUUGAUCCACAGUGAGGCAAGACACGGAUGUUCAGGACAAACUGGUUCGCUGUUUGGCUGUUAAGGCUGGGAGGGAGCUGAAGUACACGGUGUGGCGGACUGCUACCGUGCAUCCUUACAAAUGCUCUCGCUGUCUUGAUCACCUGGUUGUGGUUAAUUUAUAAUGACUUUUUCUCAAAAUCAUGUCAGACCAUUUAACACAAACAAAAGUGCUGACUAACUCUGAACAAAGGACAGUAGAUAGGAUGUGGUGCUUGGCCCAUUACUGAUGGGCCCCACACCCUACCCACUCAUCCUGUCCAUGUGACUGUCAUUGAUUCUAUGAAUAGACCCAUGGACCAUAGGUUGGAAAAUACCAUUGUGAGAAAGCAUGUCUUUUCCUGAUAAUGUAGGUGUAUUUUAGUUCCAUACUCUUGUUAAAGAACACAAUACAGAGGAAUGGUACUUUGCUGUCUUGUGCAAUAUGAGGUACCAAAUAGCAAACAUCUGGUAUCUAUUAUUGAGGAGCCCCAGACAAUACGUUAAGUGUGUGUGGAGCCAAGACCUCAAGAGGGGACACUAUACCAGGCCAUAUAAGGUUAGGAUAUAGAACUUAUGUGGUUUGAAGACUGCCAGAUAGUGGAGGGGAUGUGCAGGAGGUUUGGUCUAAUAUAAAUAUGCUGUUAAAGACAAAGACUUUUGGAGAACACGUAAGAACUACGCAAGGUCAACAUCUUGGACUCAUUCAAAUAAAGAUGGUUCACCCCUGACUUGUAGGUUUCCUGGUUUUGGUCAUGGAUCCUAAGUGGACAGAAUUAAUCACAUAGUAUUGAGAAAAAAAUCUGUAUUUUAACCUCACAUUCAAUCUUUGGUUUCUAAUACAAAAUUUGGGAGUAUAGACCCAAGAGAAGAUUAAGUAUUUCUGUACCAAUAAUAAUGGGUCUAUUUACCCUAAUAACUAGACUAUUUGACAAGUAGGUCUCUUUUCUAUCACUUAGCACUGUGUAUGCAUGAUCAUGGCUGUCUGUAUUUAUGCACUCUCGGAAGCAUACUCAUAUUGAUAUAUCUCAGACUUUAAGGGAAAUGAUCCCGGCACAGAUUUCUGUUUACGCAGUAUUGAUUGUUGGGGCUACAGGUCGGGAGAACAAAUUUACAAAGUAUACAUCUUUGCUCCAACCUUAGUUGACAUAAAAGCCAACUUUGCCACAUUCAUUGCAUUGUUCCAGGGCACAGCGAAGCUAAUAGUCAGAUCGUUCCACCAAGGUGUCAUGAAGGGAGUUGUUUAUCGAUGAUUCACAAAAGGACAAAGUUGGAAAUAGUCUUAGACUACUAGGAAAAACAUACCACCUCAGUUUCCUGUAUGCUGUGGUGUCUUAGACAUAUCUCUCUUGGGUUCAUUUUUUCUGAUGUAUAUGGUUCACAGACCAUGGGACAGAGAGCUAUGUCUUCAUGCAGGCUGCCUUGGAGGAAUAGGAGGUGCGGAAAUGUCCACAACUCUGUGACGACUGCUCUGACAGGCCUUAUACUAUAGCACUCCAAUAAACCUUUUUACUCGUCCUUUUUUUUUGCUGUCUCACUGUCUCUUUUUUCCUUGCUUUCUUAUUCUCUCUCUGUAGGAGUUGACUUAAGGAUGCCCCACGUGGGACUACACCAAAGUGGCACUGUUGUUGUUCCUACAAUGCUAAUUGUAAAUCUCAGAACCGCGACACGAAGGCUCUGCUCUCACAAGACACACAAUAACAGGAAACAGAUUGAAACACUGACUGCCACUAUGCUGAGUGAUGGUUCAUUUAUUCUGCCUUUUAAGAAUAGGUGGCUCCUGGGGACCCGGGUGUGAGAGCCACUCUGAUAUGGAUGAAAUGUGACAUAACUGCUUCUCUCAACGUUGUUAGUCCCCCAGCCACCCAGACAUGGCCUUGAUAUGGUCUUGGAAUUAAGGGAAUCAGAAGAAACUACGAGGUCUCGCUGGAUAAAGUUACUCAAUCCAGAAAUUCCAUCUGCCUUUCUUUUGUGUUGUAAGUGCUAAGCUACUUUGAAUUGAGUCAAAUAGUGGUGAUGACACACUUAAAUGUUCAUUAAACUUUAUUUGCACAAACCCCUAAAGGACGUUUGCUCAUUCUUGCACAUUAUUAUUUCCGUAGGCCAAUACUUUAUUUGUACUUACACGUUGUAACUCUGAAACUAUAUACCAUUUCACUAAUUUUACAUAUUGACUCAUAAAUGUUUUGUUCUAUAUUAUGUAAACUGAUUCUGGUAAUGUCCGCUGGAAGAAUAGCUCUGUAUGGGGCCAGGUGCUGGUGUCUGACGCUAAUUGGGAAUCUCUGUGCCAGAAUUUAGGUGAUAUGGAGACUCAUUUUAUGUUGCGACCCACUAUGGUGAAAGAUCAGAGAGUAGUGCUAGUCAUAUUAGCAAUGUUCAAGGUUCCAAGUACUGUAUCUCUAACUAAUGUAAAAAAAAGUUAUGACUCAAAGCCGGUUACCAAAUGUUUCUGAGGUGAUAGACAUUUUGAAAUGUAUUGCUCGCUGUGCCAGUGGGAUCCAAUGCCCUCUCUCACAAAUUUUUAGCUUUGACACCUGUUUGUUGUUUUUGCCCUUACUUGUGUUCCUGAUCACUGUCUUUAUUUAAGUUCCUCCUUUCCUAUUGUAUCUUCUCGAUCAUUAUUUGGUUCUCAUGCCACUGUAAUGUUGAUUUGUGUUUUUGUGUGUAGUUUUUGUCACUUCUUA
Molecule: long non-coding RNA, 3141 nt
Organism: Esox lucius (northern pike)
Lineage: Eukaryota; Metazoa; Chordata; Actinopteri; Esociformes; Esocidae
Source: Ensembl